This 1011-nucleotide ribosomal RNA is filed under the name uncultured bacterium. RNAcentral's name for it is "bacterial SSU rRNA". It matches the Rfam family "Bacterial small subunit ribosomal RNA", at positions 508 to 1502 of the family's 1533-position model. The record is from RNAcentral.
CAACCCGGGGGUAAUUACGGAGGGUUGCGAGCGUUUAUUCGGAAUUUACUGGGGCGUAAAGGGGCAUGCCAGGUGGUUUUGUUUAAGUCAAGAUGUGAAAAGCCCGGGGGCUCAAACCUCGGGAAUUUGCAUUUGGAAACUGGCAAACUUAGAGUACUGUAGAGGGGGGGUAGAAUUUCAAGGUGUAGCGGUGAAAUGCGUAGAGAUCUGAAGGAAUACCGGUGGCGAAGGCGGCCCCCUGGACAGAUACUGACACUCAGAUGCGAAAGCGUGGGGAGCAAACAGGAUUAGAUACCCUGGUAGUCCACGCCGUAAACGAUGUCUACUUGGAGGUUGUGGCCUUGAGCCGUGGCUUUCGGAGCUAACGCGUUAAGUAGACCGCCUGGGGAGUACGGUCGCAAGAUUAAAACUCAAAUGAAUUGACGGGGGCCCGCACAAGCGGUGGAGCAUGUGGUUUAAUUCGAUGCAACGCGAAGAACCUUACCUACUCUUGACAUCUACAGAAGCCAGCGGAGACGCAGGUGUGCCUUCGGGAACUGUAAGACAGGUGCUGCAUGGCUGUCGUCAGCUCGUGUUGUGAAAUGUUGGGUUAAGUCCCGCAACGAGCGCAACCCUUAUCCUUGUUUGCCAGCACUUCGGGUGGGAACUCCAGGGAGACUGCCGGUGAUAAGCCGGAGGAAGGUGGGGACGACGUCAAGUCAUCAUGGCCCUUACGAGUAGGGCUACACACGUGCUACAAUGGCGCAUACAGAGGGCGGCCAACUUGCGAAAGUGAGCGAAUCCCAAAAAGUGCGUCGUAGUCCGGAUUGGAGUCUGCAACUCGACUCCAUGAAGUCGGAAUCGCUAGUAAUCGUGGAUCAGAAUGCCACGGUGAAUACGUUCCCGGGCCUUGUACACACCGCCCGUCACACCAUGGGAGUGGGCUGCAAAAGAAGUGGGUAGUUUAACCUUCGGGAGGACGCUCACCACUUUGUGGUUCAUGACUGGGGUGAAGUCGUAACAAGGUAACCG